GACGAACGCUGGCGGCGUGCUUAACACAUGCAAGUCGAACGGAAAGGCCCUGCUUUUGUGGGGUGCUCGAGUGGCGAACGGGUGAGUAACACGUGAGUAACCUGCCCUUGACUUUGGGAUAACUUCAGGAAACUGGGGCUAAUACCGGAUAGGAGCUCCUGCUGCAGGGUGGGGGUUGGAAAGUUUCGGCGGUUGGGGAUGGACUCGCGGCUUAUCAGCUUGUUGGUGGGGUAGUGGCUUACCAAGGCUUUGACGGGUAGCCGGCCUGAGAGGGUGACCGGCCACCUUGGGACUGAGAUACGGCCCAGACUCCUACGGGAGGCAGCAGUGGGGAAUAUUGCACAAUGGGCGGAAGCCUGAUGCAGAAACGCCGCGUGCGGGAUGACGGCCUUCGGGUUGUAAACCGCUUUCGCCUGUGACGAAGCGUGAGUGACGGUAAUGGGUAAAGAAGCACCGGCUAACUACGUG
RNAcentral lists this ribosomal RNA (468 nucleotides) under uncultured bacterium. RNAcentral describes it as "partial 16S ribosomal RNA". It matches the Rfam family "Bacterial small subunit ribosomal RNA", at positions 28 to 507 of the family's 1533-position model. The record is from RNAcentral.